Molecule: ribosomal RNA, 253 nt
Filed under: uncultured bacterium
Lineage: Bacteria
Description: partial 16S ribosomal RNA
Rfam family: Bacterial small subunit ribosomal RNA
Source: RNAcentral
UACAGAGGUCUCAAGCGUUGUUCGGAUUCAUUGGGCGUAAAGCGUCUGUAGGUGGCUUUUCAAGUCCGCCGUCAAAUCCCAGGGCUCAACCCUGGACAGGCGGUGGAAACUAGCAAGCUGGAGUACGGUAGGGGCAGAGGGAAUUUCCGGUGGAGCGGUGAAAUGCAUUGAGAUCGGAAAGAACACCAACGGCGAAAGCACUCUGCUGGGCCGACACUGACACUGAGAGACGAAAGCUAGGGGAGCAAAUGGG